RNAcentral lists this ribosomal RNA (472 nucleotides) under uncultured bacterium. RNAcentral describes it as "bacterial SSU rRNA". It matches the Rfam family "Bacterial small subunit ribosomal RNA", at positions 355 to 825 of the family's 1533-position model. The record is from RNAcentral.
UGGGGAAUAUUGGACAAUGGGCGAAAGCCUGAUCCAGCCAUGCCGCGUGUGUGAAGAAGGUCUUCGGAUUGUAAAGCACUUUAAGUUGGGAGGAAGGGCAGUUACCUAAUACGUAUCUGUUUUGACGUUACCGACAGAAUAAGCACCGGCUAACUCUGUGCCAGCAGCCGCGGUAAUACAGAGGGUGCAAGCGUUAAUCGGAAUUACUGGGCGUAAAGCGCGCGUAGGUGGUUUGUUAAGUUGGAUGUGAAAUCCCCGGGCUCAACCUGGGAACUGCAUUCAAAACUGACAAGCUAGAGUAUGGUAGAGGGUGGUGGAAUUUCCUGUGUAGCGGUGAAAUGCGUAGAUAUAGGAAGGAACACCAGUGGCGAAGGCGACCACCUGGACUGAUACUGACACUGAGGUGCGAAAGCGUGGGGAGCAAACGGGAUUAGAUACCCCCGUAGUCCCUGAGCGGGCUGGCAAGGCGCAU